Molecule: long non-coding RNA, 2042 nt
Organism: Astatotilapia calliptera (eastern happy)
Lineage: Eukaryota; Metazoa; Chordata; Actinopteri; Cichliformes; Cichlidae
Source: Ensembl
AUAUUGUUUGCCUGACAAUCAAAGUGUUGAUGAGUGUCAGAUAAUGUCUAGUUUGUGCUCGGAAGAAGUUGCCAGUAAAUUUAAAUUAAAUUAAAUUUACAAAAAGCUGGGCAAGCAUGUGUGGCUGCUGGAACUAUGGUAGAUGACCAUGUGUGACAAUCAGAAAAGAAGACAAGAAAGCAAAUUCAUAAUGCUUUUGUUGAAAGCACAUACACAUUAACAGUAAAAAAAAAAAAAAAGAUAAAAAUUACAACCCAAAGUGUGCCAUUAUUACUUGUUGUCAUGGAAACAAUGCAGUUUUUUUUUUAAAUUUAAAACACACAAAAAAAUUCAAGUUUACAGUUGACAGUUACAGGUUAUAAUAGACCAGCCAGCUAGCUGUGCAGCUAAUCAGCAGCACGCGCUUCAAAAAGUUUCCAUAUUGCGUCACCGGUGCGCAGCUGCAGAGGGGCUGCGCGUGCCGGGUAGGUGCGAUCAGUGGUGCUGACGUCUGUCGGUCUGAAUGAGCGGCUGCCUGGUGUCCUGCACCAGGCACAGGUGUUUGUGAAUGGGGACUUCGUAGUGACAAAGCACAAACCUUUAUAUAUCUGUGUUGGGCGUGUCUGCCAUAGCAAAAGUGGUGACACUGAAAAACUCAGUUACCAUGGAUACAAAAAUUGCCCACAUCAUUUUUUGUCAGAGGCCUUGUAUAAUCCCUUUCCUUUCCCUGUAAUUUAUUUUAUUUUAUUUUAUUUUAGUUUUUUUUUUAUUUAUUUUUUUUUUUAAUGUAUUUAUUUGUUUGUUUGUGUGCCCGCGUGCUGGUUUCUUAGCUGGAGCUGCUUUAAUUGGACUCCUUUUCCCGUUUCCUCUGAUUCAUUCCAGGAAUAUUAGAGUGCGGGGCUUUGACUAUUAGCCAAACAACAUUAGUGAAAUGAGCUUUUGUCUUGAAUAAUUAUACACAGUGAUAACAAAAGAGUUAGCACGCUGUUGACGCACUGCACAGUGAUAAUGGGUUCUUCCUUGUUUUUCAAAUAUUUUAUAAUCGCACUCGUGCUAUGAGCUAUUAGCAACACCCCUGUGAAAUUUAAUCAGAGGGCACAGAUGAAGAAGCAAAAGGCGGCUCAUUGUUUGAAUGCUGGGAGCCAGAUCUGAACUUGAGCUGUGUGUGUGUGUGUGUGUGUGUGUGUGUGUGUGUGUGUGUGUGUGUGUGUGUGUGUGUGUGUGUGUGUGUGUGUGUGUGUGUGUGUGUGUCCGGCACUGUCUGGGCGGCACGACAUGCCUGGGUAACUUCUAUUUAGCGUGCUGCUGGCCAAUGAAAGAUGCAUGAUGACUGAGACCGGCAGUUAUAAAUCUAUUACAUCAGCAGGGGUGCGUGUUCACGCUGUUGUAACUCUAUUGGUUUCCCAUCAGCUGCUUAAAUACCCAGACUGCACACAGGACACUGUGCAGUCCAUAGUCUAAAUCACAGCCAUCCUCAAGCCUGUGCGCAUGAAGAAUGGUCGCGUCCCCGAAAUUACAACAGGGAGGUCUUUCAGGCAUAAAUUCCCUUGAAUGAGAUUAAGGAAAAUACGGCUUUUAAAAGCUUAUUUAUGUGGUCAGGAGAGAAAAAAUAACAAACGCAUGAGUUUAUUUCCUUGGCAACAGCCUGGUGUUUAAAUAUAGAAUGAGACAAUCGUACUCCAUUGGGGCUAUUUUUUUUGUCUUUUUUAUUUUGUUUAAGAUACUAAGAAUGAAAGUCAUUGUUAAUGGCAUCACACAACGUACAUCUCCCAAGGCAGUGUCUGAGUCUGGCCUGUCCCACCAGGAUGCCUCUAAUGGGUAAAUAGCAGUGGGAGCUGGUGGUGGGUAGGAGAGUCUGAAAGCAGACCUAUUAUAUUCGAAACCGGGAUUUAUUAUUCCUCAAAAGAAAAAGAAAAAAGUAAGACCAUUAUCUACUUUUGUGUGGUCUUCUCCCUUCUUUCCCCCCCCCAUACCCGUGUUAUGCAAUCAUGUAUUUCUUUUAUUCCAAGCCUGGGAGGCUCGAGCUCUGACGGAGGAGGAUAGAGGACCUCAACAGGUGGAGA